GAUGAACGCUGGCGGCGUGCCUAAUACAUGCAAGUCGAGCGAACAGACGAGAGUGCUUGCACUCUCUGACGUUAGCGGCGGACGGGUGAGUAACACGUGGGUAACCUACCUAUAAGACUGGGAUAACUUCGGGAAACCGGAGCUAAUACCGGAUAAUAUUUAGCUUCGCAUGAAGCAAUAGUGAAAGACGGUUCUGCUGUCACUUAUAGAUGGACCCGCGGUGUAUUAGCUAGUUGGUGAGGUAACGGCUCACCAAGGCAACGAUACAUAGCCGACCUGAGAGGGUGAUCGGCCACCCUGGGACUGAGACACGGCCCAGACUCCUACGGGAGGCAGCAGUAGGGAAUCUUCCGCAAUGGACGAAAGUCUGACGGAGCAAUGCCGCGUGAGUGAAGAAGGUUUUCGGAUCGUAAAACUCUGUUGUAAGGGAAGAACAAGUACGUUAGUAACUGAACGUACCUUGACGGUACCUUACCAGAAAGCCACGGCUAACUACGUG
Molecule: ribosomal RNA, 499 nt
Filed under: uncultured bacterium
Lineage: Bacteria
Description: partial 16S ribosomal RNA
Rfam family: Bacterial small subunit ribosomal RNA
Source: RNAcentral